This is a non-coding RNA of Microcebus murinus (gray mouse lemur), 2210 nucleotides long. NCBI's taxonomy places the organism in Eukaryota, Metazoa, Chordata, Mammalia, Primates, Cheirogaleidae. The record is from RefSeq and is a predicted model, not a curated record.
GGGAGGAGAAAGAAGGAAAGAGAGGAAAGAGAAAGAGAUCUGAUGGGAACCUUCCCCCACUACUAACUGAUCUUUUACAAUAGUGUCCUCUGGAUUGUUUAUCUAGCACAAAGUGACUCUGCAUUUGAGUACCCAGACUGGCCAUUGCAGGAUGCUGAUUCCUCAGGGAUGAGUUUGUCGCCAAUGAAAUGCCCACCCCGAACCUUUGGCCUAGUGGAGCAGUUCCCAGCAUGGUCAGCACUCCUCAAAGUCGCAUGGACACUGAAGACAGCGAGACACAUGAGCUGCCAGCCUGCAUCCUAAGCAUCAUCCCGCCAAACCGUUCUCAUCAAUUCUAGUGGCCACUAAUGGAGAAGGUGUUGCUGCUGUUUUGAGAGCCACAUUGGAGGAAUUGCUGCCACAGAGUCAAUGACAAAUAUUCUGUACAACGGGAAGCUGUCAGAAGAAUCCGUUGUACGAGGUGGUGAAGAACACCAAAUUUUGAAUACUCCCUCUCUCGAGAAAAGGGAAGAAAUAGAGUCACGUCCACCACUUGCAUCCUUUGUACCUCCUAUUGUUGCUUCAUGAAUAGACCAGAGGAAAGUACACUUGCGCCGAGGCCAAGCCAUUACCAUCUCUAAUGUUUCAACCAUUUCCAGACUUUAUAAUCUGGCCUAUCUCAUGGAUGGACAAUGAUGCCAGUGUCAGGCUGGUGAGUAAUAAAGGAGGAGCAUAUUUGUGUGUGUAGGUAGGAGAGAGUGAGAGAGAGGUUGAGAUAUCUACAAAGAGAUUUCCUGGGACUGUAAUUCAAGUUUAAAACCUGUACCUGGAGCUCAAAAAUGAGGCUUGGCUUCAACCAUAGAUACAGAUGCCAUCAGGGGAAAUGGGAGAUCCCAAAGAGAAGAGGUUAACAUAAGAGUCAGAUAAAUUUUAGGAAACAUCAGAAUUCAAGCUAUGAGUGCAGGAAGAACUGCCUGGAAGAGGAGACCAAGAUGGAGCUGCCUACAAGGAAGGAAAGCAAGGAGAGGGUGAAUCUUGGAACCCACAGGAGAAGAGAUAUUUGCAGAGUUACCGAGAGGCCAGCUGAGGAAAAGAUAUAAGAAUAUGAGAUCCCCAAAUCUGUCAGAAUCAGAGAGCUCAUUACCAGCUUUAAGCAAACUCGUUUCAAAUCGGACACUGUAGCAACUGGACAGGUGCGACUCAACAAAGGCAAAUCAGUAAUUCAGUCUUCACACACCUUAAUAAAGGAAAGAGCUUGAGGAAAUCCGUGGCACAAUGGCGCGUGAUUCAGAUAGCUUAUCAAGGGCUCAUGAAAUGCUGUACUUGUGACUUUCUUUGAAUAGAUGCUAUAAAUGCUAGACUCUCGGGAGAAAAAGAAGUGCUAGAAAUAUACCUAGUGAUCUCCGAGACAAAUGGAGCACACCAACUCUGUGACUGAUUUCGGCCUCAUUCCUAUUUCAAGGCAGAUGCCACUAAAUAUGGACCCAUUCACAGUCCACAAUGAACUCCUGUGAUCGUUCCUAGGGUCUCUGCGCUGUCAGUCUUCAAAGUGGCUUCAGAUCAUGCAUGACUUUUGACUGCAGAAAACUGGGAAAUAAACUCAUGGAUGAGUACACAUGAGAGAGCAUGGGUGCAUGCUUUACCGACGAAGACAGACCAGUCUGAGUGGGGUAUUACCCAAUCAGAGACAUGUGGAACAUACUGUCUGGGCUCACAUAGCAAUUCUGGAUCAUGAGGACUCCAGGACGAAGCAUACACUAAAGCAAGGGAAGAACGGAGAUUGACGUUACCAUAAGCCAAUGAGGUAACUUUACAGAACUUACCAGAAUCUCGCACAUUAUUGUUUGAUGUGAGCACUUUGCUAUUUUUUCCCUACUAAAUAGUGAGGUCCUUAAUGACAAUAACUUUGUCUUGUUUGUCCUUGUAUACUUACCCAUCCUUAGCACAUUUCUUUGCACAGUAAUACAUGUCAUCUUAAUGUUUGCUGUGUGAGUAAAUAAAUAUAAACUGUUAAAGACAUUUGAUAGAGCACAGUCUUCAAAGGACUGAUAUGCAAAAAUAGAUAAAGAAAGCAGUUAAGGAGAACCAGGAAAAAUAGGGAAUUAGUGAUGGGUGAAAUACAAUCAUAAAGAAAAAAAAUAAAAUUUGAUGAUAGGAAUUUCCUAUUUAGGAGACAUAUUAGUUCAAAGGAUUGGUAAUUUAAUACAGAGACUUUCACUUCUAAGUCACAG